GUCACUAGAUUCCUCAAAAGUUGUCCAAAAUUCAAACACAUCAAAAGACUGCUCGCUCAAAGAAGAGCAACUUUGCUCGUGAAUCACUCGUGAGUGUUCCGAAAAGUGUGUGCAAACAGACGAGGCAAAGCAAAAACUAUAAUAUUCGUCCACACAAGAAGACCGGGAAAUUUGUUAUUGCUGCAAUCGAAUUCAAGUAAGAUCGUGCUCCCCCAAUUGAGCAGAGCGAGACGACCCCAGGCUCCACCGGAGCCGUCUCGCUCAUUUUAAUAGCUGAGUUACCCCCUCUCCCAUACCACACUUGAAAAAGCAAACGCCACACAAUUGCACACACUUGUUCUAAACCCGUUCGCGAGCGCGCUCCCUCUCUCCGUCUUUCUAAUCAUCCUCAUUGAUGAAGAGCAGCAGCAAGCACACUCAUCCUCCUUCGCAACAAAACGCGCGCUCGCUAGUGAACCUCAUCCGAAUGAGCGAGGUAAACAAAAAUCGCUCACGCUCUCGCGCGAGUGAAUUCCAUCGUUGGCCGCUCGCGCACGGAGGGAAAUCGUGCGGCAAAAGCGCAUGAGCUCCCGCAAAAAUUGCAACAAAAAGAAAUGUUUGAAAGAUUGAAAGAGGAAAAUAAAAGCAGGAAUUGCAUGUAACGGAGAAAGAGACUUGCUCAACGAACGGAGAAGAUAAGGGUUUCUUGUUACACACACACCCUCGGCAAUAACCUUAACGCAGGACCCUAUUUUUCUAUGCUGCACAGAGCUCUAAUUUAUGGUUUCGAAUGCAACCAAUCGAAACCGAACGAAACGAGCACCUGAAUAAUAUCCUACGUUCAGGUGAAAGUGUUUGAAGUUGAAGAUUUUCGGCGAGAUGAUGCGGAUGGUUAAGG
Molecule: long non-coding RNA, 877 nt
Organism: Culex quinquefasciatus (southern house mosquito)
Lineage: Eukaryota; Metazoa; Arthropoda; Insecta; Diptera; Culicidae
Exons: 2
Source: RefSeq, a predicted model, not a curated record